Molecule: ribosomal RNA, 1471 nt
Filed under: metagenome
Description: bacterial SSU rRNA
Rfam family: Bacterial small subunit ribosomal RNA
Source: RNAcentral
GAACGCCCAUCACGAGGUAGCAAUAUUUCGCGGUGGGAGUGGCGCAAGGGUGCGUAACACGUGGGUAAUCUGCCGCGAAGUCCGGGAUAACUUGCUGAAAGGCGAGCUAAUACCAGAUGUGACUGUCGGGAGGCAUCUCCUGGCAUUCAAAGUUGGGGACCGUAAGGCCUGACACUUCACGAUGAGCCCGCGGCCUAUCAGCUAGUUGGUGAGGUAACGGCCCACCAAGGCUAAGACGGGUAGCUGGUCUGAGAGGACGACCAGCCACACUGGAACUGAGACACGGUCCAGACACCUACGGGUGGCAGCAGUCGAGAAUUUUUCUCAAUGGGCGAAAGCCUGAAGGAGCGACGCCGCGUGGGGGAUGAAGGGCUUCGGCCUGUAAACCCCUGUCAUUUGCGAUCAAGGCGACCGACCUAAUACGUCGGGCGUUGAUAGUAGCGAAAGAGGAAGGGACGGCUAACUCUGUGCCAGCAGCCGCGGUAAUACAGAGGUCCCAAGCGUUGUUCGGAUUUACUGGGCGUAAAGGGUGCGUAGGUGGCAAGGUAAGUUCGGUGUGAAAUCUCCAGGCUUAACCUGGAAACUGCACUGGAUACUAUCUAGCUCGAGGAUCGUAGGGGAGACUGGAAUUCUCGGUGUAGCAGUGAAAUGCGUAGAUAUCGAGAGGAACACCAGUGGCGAAAGCGAGUCUCUGGACGAUCCCUGACACUGAGGCACGAAAGCUAGGGGAGCAAACAGGAUUAGAUACCCUGGUAGUCCUAGCCCUAAACGGUGCAUGUUUGCUGUGGGAGGAAUCGACCCCUUCCGUGGCGAAGCUAACGCGUUAAACAUGCCGCCUGGGGAGUACGGCCGCAAGGUUAAAACUCAAAGAAAUUGACGGGGGCCUGCACAAGCGGUGGAGUAUGUGGCUUAAUUCGAUCCAACGCGAAGAACCUUACCUGGCCUUGACAUGUAGGUGGCAGAAGCCUGAAAGGGCAACGACCCCGCAAGGGGAGCUUACACAGGUGCUGCAUGGCUGUCGUCAGCUCGUGUCGUGAGAUGUUGGGUUAAGUCCCGCAACGAGCGCAACCCUCGUGUCCUGUUGCGACCCGGAUGAGAAUUCGGAGCACUCUGGACAGACUGCCACAUUUUCAUGUGGAGGAAGGUGGGGAUGACGUCAAGUCAGGAUGGCCCUUACGGCCAGGGCUGCACACGUACUACAAUGCCCGGUACAAAGAGAAGCAAGACCGCAAGGUGGAGCUAAUCUCGCAAAACCGGGCCCAGUUCAGAUUGUCGGCUGCAACUCGCCGACAUGAAGCUGGAAUCGCUAGUAAUGGCGCAUCAGCUACGGCGCCGUGAAUACGUUCCCAGGCCUUGUACACACCGCCCGUCACAUCAUGAAAGCCGGUUGUACCCGAAGUCAGCGCGUUAACCGCAAGGAGACAGCUGCCGAAGGUAUGGCUGGUGAUUGGGAUGAAGUCGGAACAAGGUA